This 415-nucleotide ribosomal RNA is filed under the name uncultured bacterium. Its description in RNAcentral is "bacterial SSU rRNA". It matches the Rfam family "Bacterial small subunit ribosomal RNA", at positions 355 to 767 of the family's 1533-position model. The record is from RNAcentral.
UGAGGAAUAUUGGUCAAUGGGCGCAAGCCUGAACCAGCCAUCCCGCGUGAAGGAAGAAUGCGCUACGCGUUGUAAACUUCUUUUCCAGGGGGAGAAUUUUCCUGUCGAGACAGGGAUUGACGGUACCCUGGGAAUAAGCAUCGGCUAACUCCGUGCCAGCAGCCGCGGUAAUACGGAGGAUGCGAGCGUUAUCCGGAUUUAUUGGGUUUAAAGGGUGCGUAGGCGGAUUGAUAAGUCGGUGGUGAAAUUCUGCGGCUUAACUGUAGACUUGCCGUUGAUACUGUUAGUCUUGAGUGUGGUCAAGGCAGGCGGCAUGUGUAAUGUAGCGGUGAAAUGCUUAGAUAUUACACAGAACACCGAUUGCGAAGGCAGCUUGCUGGGUCAUUACUGACGCUGAUGCACGAAAGCGUGGGGA